GAUGAACGCUGGCGGCGUGCCUAAUACAUGCAAGUCGAGCGAACAGACGAGGCGCUUGCUCCUCUGACGUUAGCGGCAGACGGGUGAGUCACACGUGUAUACCCUACCUAUCUGAGUGGGAUCACUUCGGAACACCGGCGCUAAUACCGGAUAAUCUCUUGAACCACAUGGUUCAUUAGUGAAUUACGGUUGUUCUGUCACUUCUAGAUGGUUCCGCGCCGCAUUAGCUAGUUGGUAAGGUAACGGCUUACCAAGGCUACGAUGCGUAGCCGACCUGAGAGGGUGAUCGGCCACACUGGAACUGAGACACGGUCCAGACUCCUACGGGAGGCAGCAGUAGGGAAUCUUACGCAAUGGGCGAAAGCCUGACGGAGCAACGCCGCGUGAGUGAUGAAGGUCUUCGGAGCGUAAAGCUCUGUUAUUAGGGAAGAACAAAUGUGUAAGGAACUAUGCACGGCUUGACGGUACCUAAUCAAAAAGCCACGGCUAACUACGUG
Molecule: ribosomal RNA, 497 nt
Filed under: uncultured bacterium
Lineage: Bacteria
Description: partial 16S ribosomal RNA
Rfam family: Bacterial small subunit ribosomal RNA
Source: RNAcentral